GGCAGCAUCAUGCUUUGGGGGUGCUUUGCUGCAGGAGGGACUGGUGCACUUCACAAAAUAGUGUUCAGGCCUCAGGCCUUUACCAACACUGAGGAAAUGCAUGCUUCUUUCCUCUGAUCUGAAUGUGACGUUAAUACUCUUCUCUCCUCCCAGAUAUUGACAUGGGAAUCUCCAACCUGUCUGUACAGGACUUUGAAGCACAAGCUAUAGCAACUAUGAACAGGUUGCAUUUCAGUGUUAAUAAUCAUUUAGUUGAGACAGACAGUGCCUGUGAUCCCUACAGUCAGUUAGUUCUGUCAGGUAACUGUAUGAGAUCUGAUGCUGUCAGGUAACUGUAUGAGAUCUGAUGCUGUCAGGUAACUGUAGGAGAUCUGAUGCUGUCAGGUAACUGUAGGAGUUCUGAUGCUGUCAGGUAACUGUAGGAGAUCUGAUGCUGUCAGGUAACUGUAGGAGAUCUGAUGCUGUCAGGUAACUGUAGGAGAUCUGAUCCUGUCAGGUAACUGUAGGAGAUCUGAUGCUGUCAGGUAACUGUAGGAGAUCUGAUCCUGUCAGGUAACUGUAGGAGAUCUGAUCCUGUCAGGUAACUGUAGGAGAUCUGAUCCUGUCAGGUAACUGUAGGAGAUCUGAUGCUGUCAGGUAACUGUAGGAGAUCUGAUGCUGUCAGGUAACUGUAGGAGAUCUGAUGCUGUCAGGUAAGUGUAGGAGAUCUGAUGCUGUCAGGUAACCGUAGGAGAUCUGAUGCUGUCAGGUAACUGUAGGAGAUCUGAUGCUGUCAGGUAACUGUAGGAGAUCUGAUGCUGUCAGGUAACUGUAGGAGAUCUGAUGCUGUCAGGUAACCGUAGGAGAUCUGAUGCUGUCAGGUAACUGUAGGAGAUCUGAUGCUGUCAGGUACUGUACCAGCUGUAGCUCCUCUGACUCACAACAGACCUUCAAUAUUAAUGCUUUUCAAACAGUUGAGUGUCUGUGCUGCUCAACGCAGCUCUAAUUUGUUUUGAACAGCGUCUGCAAAUCGGAUGCAUCCACUCGUCCCUCUCUCGUCGUCUUGCUCACUCUGUUUGUAUGCCUUGGAGAAUUUAGGAGACGAGAGUUGACAAAUCCUUCCCGUACAAUAUUAACGUGAAGCGAGUGGAACUGCUCAUAGGGAGAAGUGACAAGUCUAUCCCUGGAUGAUUUGUUGUUUGUCCAGUGCAGUCAGUGCAGUGCUCCAACUUCAAGGAGCAACUGUCUGUGUUAAUUAGCAGUUGAAGUUAAGCCAGUGCCCUGUGUGACAGUGUGUCUCUCCCCCUCCCCAUGUCCCACCAGUGAGUCCAGGCCCAGUAUAGAGCACAAUCUGAGGCUGACGUCAGCCUACUUCCACUACCUGACAGAGGACGGCAGGCUUGAGAUCACCACCUGUCACUCCAGAAAAGCCUUCACUGUGGACUACAUCUUCUACUCCGCAGGAACUGGGGACAUUUCCACACAGCCAGAGGGUUCAUUGCCCAGGUGAGGGCUGCUGGCCAGACUGUCCCUGGUGGGACAGACAGACCUGGAGGCCGUCAACGGGCUACCCAAUGAGCACAACUCCUUGGACCAUCUGCCCAUACUGGCCCUCCUCCGCCUCUGCCCCUGAGACUGGUGGUCAAGGGUUAGGGGUCAGAGCCUCAAACAAACGUGGAGGUCAAAGAACUGGAGAGACCAGGGAAUUCACCCAUACCUCUCACCAGCGACCAAUAGCUUCUGUCUCUGAGUCUCAUAUUAUCAUAUCACCACGGAGAUAGACUUUCAUUUUAAUGACAUUUAUUGAUGAUCUUGCAGCUUGGCAGUAGCCUAUCUCUAGUGGAUAGAUGUAGGCUACUGCAUCGAGAUGUUUACACUUUUUUACUUUUGAUGUUAUUUUACAUUGGUUGAAGAUAUUAUGAAAAUAUACAUUUUUAUAUUUGAAUGGUUUAAAUGUUGACAUGAAUUCAUUUCAAAACAUGCAGCUGAUAAGGAAUAACACUGAGAUAUAUACUUUUUCUAUUCAUUAUGUCAUGCACAUGAGCACAAACUAUUUGAUAAUAUUGGGAUUGAAAAUGAAGGCUAUGUUACAGCUAUUGUACCUAAUUUAACGCAAUAGAAUACCCGCAAUUAAAGACACCCUGUACAUGCAUAUAGUUCAGCUCUGUAAUAAUGUCACAUUACAUUGAAUGAGAUCCAGGGAUUGUUUGAACGGUACCGCUCAGCGAUAACCAAAGGCUACGCAGGUGGACAGAGAAGCUGACACAAGCUGAUCAGAGAAAAGAGAGGGAGUGUUUUCUCACCUGGAGAGGAAUGAAAGUGAACCCAGGGUACAUAACCUUGAGUGACGAACCUGCUAGUGCGUUAGGUGAAAAGCUCAUUAAUAAAAACAGAACAGUCAUCUCUACCAUUAGAUGAAGAAUCACUGGAGUCAGCCUCCUGAUAGGCAAUUUCUCUCAACAUGUUGGAGUGUUUUUAAUAUUCUACACACUGCAGAAUCCUCAAGUUUGUUUCCAAUAUUGCACAUCAAUCUUUUUUUUAGACCGAAACUAAGUGUCAGAAUUUGAGGACAUGGAAUUUGACAUUUCUGGUAGUUAAAGAAGCAACUCUCCAAAGUCUAUUGUAUUUGGUUGCCUUAUAUAACGGCCACAUUAGUGCUAUCAACCUCGCUGCUCAAGCACACAAACCUCUGCUUUACAGAAAAUGUAUUUUGAUGUAGUACAUAUCAGGUGGUUAACCUUGUUUUACUAUUUGGCCUUAAUUCUGUUUUGACAUUGCUCACAUUCUAGACAAAAUUUGAUAAAGUCUGAGGCCAAAUUGAUUUAGUUAUUCCUUGCCGGGGACAUGCCGUGGUUUGUAAA
Molecule: long non-coding RNA, 2840 nt
Organism: Coregonus clupeaformis (lake whitefish)
Lineage: Eukaryota; Metazoa; Chordata; Actinopteri; Salmoniformes; Salmonidae
Exons: 3
Source: RefSeq, a predicted model, not a curated record